UUAACUUAAUCAUCGAAAGAUCUCCCACUAAAGGCCCCACCUCCAGUGUCAAUGGGCUUCUUUUGCAAGUCCUAUCUCGAUCUCCCGAUGUCGGACCUCCCUCCACCUUUGGCCACAUCAGCACCCCCAGAGCCUUGAUGCAACAAUACUGAAUGACUAUAUUAUCAUUAUCCAAUGAUAGAUGUGUUGUGAAAUAAUAUAAUAUAAUAAAAGGAGAGGGACACAACAAGAGA
This 233-nucleotide long non-coding RNA is filed under the name Elaeis guineensis (African oil palm). RNAcentral's name for it is "long non-coding RNA (EGUI_LNC007618)". Lineage: Eukaryota; Viridiplantae; Streptophyta; Magnoliopsida; Arecales; Arecaceae. The record is from RNAcentral.